GGAUAACCUGCCCUUGGGUCCGGCAUAACCCCGGGAAACUGGGGAUAAUUCCGGAUAACGCAUAUAUGCUGGAAUGCUUUAUGCGUAAAAUGGAUUCGUCUGCCCAAGGAUGGGUCUGCGGCCUAUCAGGUAGUAGUGGGUGUAAUGUACCUACUAGCCUACGACGGGUACGGGUUGUGAGAGCAAGAGCCCGGAGAUGGAUUCUGAGACAUGAAUCCAGGCCCUACGGGGCGCAGCAGGCGCGAAAACUUUACAAUGCGGGAAACCGUGAUAAGGGGACACCGAGUGCCAGCGUCAUACGCUGGCUGUCCGGGUGUGUAAAAUACACCUGUUAGCAAGGGCCGGGCAAGACCGGUGCCAGCCGCCGCGGUAACACCGGCGGCCCGAGUGGUGAUCGUGAUUAUUGGGUCUAAAGGGUCCGUAGCCGGUUUGGUCAGUCCUCCGGGAAAUCUGACAGCUUAACUGUUAGGCUUUCGGAGGAUACUGCCAGACUUGGAACCGGGAGAGGUAAGAGGUACUACAGGGGUAGGAGUGAAAUCUUGUAAUCCCUGUGGGACCACCUGUGGCGAAGGCGUCUUACCAGAACGGGUUCGACGGUGAGGGACGAAAGCUGGGGGCACGAACCGGAUUAGAUACCCGGGUAGUCCCAGCCGUAAACGAUGCUCGCUAGGUGUCAGGCAUGGCGCGACCGUGUCUGGUGCCGCAGGGAAGCCGUGAAGCGAGCCACCUGGGAAGUACGGCCGCAAGGCUGAAACU
Molecule: ribosomal RNA, 756 nt
Filed under: uncultured archaeon
Lineage: Archaea
Description: bacterial SSU rRNA
Rfam family: Archaeal small subunit ribosomal RNA
Source: RNAcentral